Molecule: ribosomal RNA, 250 nt
Filed under: uncultured bacterium
Lineage: Bacteria
Description: partial 16S ribosomal RNA
Rfam family: Bacterial small subunit ribosomal RNA
Source: RNAcentral
GUGCCAGCCGCCGCGGUAAUACAGAGGGUGCAAGCGUUAAUCGGAAUUACUGGGCGUAAAGCGCGCGUAGGUGGUUCGUUAAGUUGGAUGUGAAAUCCCCGGGCUCAACCUGGGAACUGCAUUCAAAACUGACGAGCUAGAGUAUGGUAGAGGGUGGUGGAAUUUCCUGUGUAGCGGUGAAAUGCGUAGAUAUAGGAAGGAACACCAGUGGCGAAGGCGACCACCUGGACUGAUACUGACACUGAGGUGC